GAUGAACGCUGGCGGCGUGCUUAACACAUGCAAGUCGAACGGAAAGGCCCAAGCUUGCUUGGGUGCUCGAGUGGCGAACGGGUGAGUAACACGUGGGUGAUCUGCCCUGCACUUUGGGAUAAGCCUGGGAAACUGGGUCUAAUACCGGAUAGGACCAUCGUUUAGUGUCGGUGGUGGAAAGUUUUUCGGUGUGGGAUGAGCUCGCGGCCUAUCAGCUUGUUGGUGGGGUAAUGGCCUACCAAGGCGUCGACGGGUAGCCGGCCUGAGAGGGUGUACGGCCACAUUGGGACUGAGAUACGGCCCAGACUCCUACGGGAGGCAGCAGUGGGGAAUAUUGCACAAUGGGCGCAAGCCUGAUGCAGCGACGCCGCGUGGGGGAUGACGGCCUUCGGGUUGUAAACUCCCUUCGCCAAGGACGAAGCGUUUUGUGACGGUACUUGGAGAAGAAGCACCGGCUAACUACGUG
This 466-nucleotide ribosomal RNA is filed under the name uncultured bacterium. RNAcentral describes it as "partial 16S ribosomal RNA". It matches the Rfam family "Bacterial small subunit ribosomal RNA", at positions 28 to 507 of the family's 1533-position model. The record is from RNAcentral.